Molecule: long non-coding RNA, 3642 nt
Organism: Lolium perenne
Lineage: Eukaryota; Viridiplantae; Streptophyta; Magnoliopsida; Poales; Poaceae
Source: RefSeq, a predicted model, not a curated record
AGGAGGCCCUAAGGCCGCCGUCUACGCCUACACAUAGCCCCGAUCCUCGACCUCCACGACGCCCUUGACCGGAGCUUCGACGCCUAAAUCCAGAACAUCGCUGCCGUGGACAGCCUCUUCUUCGACCUAUCCUCAAGCUCAGUGCCAUUUGAGGAGGAUAACAAGGAUCCGAGGAUCUGGUUCCAUGUCCAUAAUUACCAUGAGUGUAUGUUCUCCAUAUUAAAGAGGAUCAACGAUAUGCUGUUUAAGAAUUCUCACAUAUGCUGCCUGUGCAGCUGUUUCUGUUGUACUGAUGACGUUUCUUGGGAUGCAGCAAACGAGCUUGUUGUUGGCUGGCACGUCACUGGUCCAAAGCUAAAGGACUAAAGAGGUCUAAAUAAAUGUGCAUGUUGGUUCAUUGAUCCUUGACAAAUGUUUUGUUUUUUCAGCGUUGGUUUAUGUGGUCAAGUGGUAAACUGGACGGGUCAAGUCUUUUCGAAGCGAAAUUAUACCGUAACAAAUAGAAUGAAUAGAACUUGCUGGCAUCCAUGUUUCAGCGAGACAAGGAGGAAUUGAUGACAUGAAGAAGCAUCUGGCUUUUGGUGUAAAAUUCAACAUAAGAGACAGUGAAGAGAACUCCGUUGUGCUGGCUGUCAAAAUGUCGUCGAGGUUCUUGUUAAUUCAAAUGCAGACGUCAAUCCUCAGGUAUGUGAUUUUAUUUGCACACUUCACUCAUUGAAAUAAAAAAUUCUUGAAUCUUAAGUUUGGUUAGUGUAUUUGAGCAUAUGAAACUGGUUGUAUCUGCGGCCAAGUAUUUCAAUGGGUUUCCAUGAUAAACUGCAUCAAAUGAGCAAAACGUUGGAUAUAUCCAUACUAACUAGAACACUUUAGGCAAGUUAUCAGCUUGCCAGGUUGGUGAAUUGACAUACUAGGUAACUUGUCAAGUCGUCAGUUCAUAACUUGAUAUCUUGCAGAGCGUAGAGCGCAGAAAGUUAUGGACCUUUUUUUUAAUUCCCCUGAGAUUGUGCCUUGCAGUGACUGGAUUAAGAUAAUGAUCGAUGGCUAUUUCUAUAAUCAUUAGCCCAUCAUAUCUUAACACUUAACAUCUCAUCUAAUACUUUUAUGAUAUUAAAGUUUAUUACAAGGUUUGCACCUUCUAGCUGUCAAUCAUUGAAGCUACAUUGCAGUAGAAAAUGGUCUGCGGCCUGCAGUCCGUACACCUUAUGUUGCGGAGUAUUCAAUUUUUUAGUCACUAUUUUUUCAAGUAUACUUGAACAUACUUAUGUAAGCUCUUGCUAAAAUAUUCAUUUUGAACUUCAAAGCAUUCAUGCAGGAAGAGCUUCCAGAUUGAGUCCCUUUGUCUGAUUGCAAAUAAACUAGGACUAUAAAUUAGAGGCUAGGUAGAAGGAACUUUGUGUUUGGGGAUUUAUUUAUCAGGAUUUAAGUGACGAUCUUUGGGCGUGAUCUCUUUAUUUGAUUUUGCACAUUUAUUUGGAGGUUUUUGCCGAGCCAAGCACCAUGCAUAUGUCUGUGUUUGCAUCCUUUUUUCAAAAGUGUCUGAUUUGAUUUAAUAAAUUAGGGACUCACUUUUUUUUUUGGUUGCUUAGAACAGUUUUUUUUUUUAAAUGUUGCUACUAAUAGAAAUUCGUUUUUUAGAUCCUUGGUUCAAUUCCCUUCAUCAUUUUUAGAGGUUAUUUCGUAAAUACGAUACUAUGUUCUUGGCAGACUCACUCUGAUGCUCUUAAACACUACUCCAUCCGUUCCAAAAUAUAAGGCACAUAAGAUUAGUCAAAAGUCAAACCCUACUAAGUUCGACCAAAUAUUUACCGAAAAAUAUAAACAUUCACAAUAUUAAAUAGACAUUGAGAUAAUAUACUUUGGUGAAUCUAUUGAUUUCGGUUUAGUAUUCUAGAUGUUCAUACUUUUUGUUAUAAACUUGGUCAAACUUAUAAGAUGUUGGCUUUUGAAUAAACUUACAUGCCUUAUAUUUGGGAUGGAGGGACUACUACAGCUUAUAGAGAUUCAUUGUUUCUCAGUGAAAAGUUUUUGCAAUUUGGGGCAAUCUGAGCUAUGUUCAGUUUUUCCAAUUUGAAGAUACACAUUAAUUACGCGGUAAAGCAAAAUAAAAACAUCUGAUGUGGCAUUUAUGUAUUAUCGAGCUUUAUAUCCUGUACGGAUUACACAUACAUAGUUGGAGAAUUAAUUUUGAGUUUUGAAAAUAUUUAUUAUGGUGCGUACAUGUUGUCAUAAUGUCUACAUGAUAUCAUAGCAACAACUACACAAUUCAACAUGAUGUCGUAACCUUUUGAUUCUAACAGUUUUAUGCGUAGGUGCUCAUACCCCUCAUUCUACCGAACAUAUAAGAACAUAUUGUGUGUUAGGUUCUAAUGCGUGUAAGGUCCUAUAGCAGUUUUGUUGUCUGUUGCUUGACCUGCUUGCUAUUUUAGUGUUCGUUACCCAAGGUACUCAUCAUGCUGUGUAUACUCCUAAUCUGGUUUGCUAUUUGGUCAUUGUUAUGUUUCCAAUCUUGUGUGUCAGUAGCUAGUUACAAUCUUCUUUCAGUUAGCUGAAUAAGGGUUUGGUUCAGUGUGCGUGUACACUGACGACCUAGUCAUUUAUCAUUUCAUGCCGUAGUUGUAGGCAGCCUCGAUCACAGCGUGGGAUGGCAUGUUGUGUAUGAUCAUGGCUGCGCGUAGUGGACGUUGUGGCCGAGCGGCUGUGGGAUGGCGCAGCCAGUAGGACUCGGUCCAGCUCCAAGUUUUUAGCUGGGUUCGGUUGUAACUGAACUGAGAAUAAAAGGAGAAGAACAACAGAAAACCCGUAAGGUUUUACACGGCAACAAAAUCUUCAGUGUAUGUCUCUCUCUGAAAGUGUCGAGUUUCAGGUCCUGAACUAACAGUCAUGGCGUGCAUUGCUUGAUCGGUCCUAUUAGUCGGAACCUCCAUAGGCAAAGCAUCAUGGCAUUUUUUUAAAUCAUGAUCUGGUAUUUGUUCUUUAUAUGUAUCUUAGGGUAGAGCAAAGUCUUUGUUUGAACCCUUCUAUUCUAUCGAAAGGUUGGUUUUCCUCUUUGGCAGUUCAAUGGUGUUAUCUAAGCUCCUUAACGGUGAUACGUUAUUUCUAAUUCAUGCUUCUAUUUCCUUUUUCGUGCGAAGGCAUACCAAUUGUGAUAUUUUUGUUGAACCGUGAAUUGGAGCAAGAUUACACUAUUAUGGAUAUGUACUGUGCAAACACAUAGGUAUUGUAUGAGGUUCCAUUAAACUGACCGGUGUUCCAUCUACUCUCAGUUUCAUGAGAUGAUGUGCAAUGAAAGAAACACCUCCACACUAGCUGCGACGCUUAGAACCAUGCUAUUAUGAUGCUUCACAUUCGCCUUCCCAUUUAUAUGUUUUUAUCCAUUUUUGCGAUGGACAUUGUCUACGACCGUACGUAAAGAUAGUGAGGAUUGCUACUGGAGCAUGGGCUGCAUGGCCGCUUGCACUGGUUAACGAAUGUGCAUAGAUGGGAAGCUAUUUUCAGUCAAUUAGAGAACCUCUGUUGCCCCAGACAACCUAGGGUAAUUUAUCAUGUUGGCUACUGCCUCCUGAGUUUGUACAUAAUGAGACCGUAUGGUAGUAAUUUGUGUUGUAAAUAUGAGUUUUCAUGCAAUAAAUUCAAUUUUGAAUC